Molecule: non-coding RNA, 396 nt
Organism: Onychomys torridus (southern grasshopper mouse)
Lineage: Eukaryota; Metazoa; Chordata; Mammalia; Rodentia; Cricetidae
Source: the annotation of a RefSeq genome assembly
AUGAAAUCCUUGAGAGUUUCACUGGUGGUCCUGUGGCUUCAGUUUAAUUGGGUGAGCAGUCAACAGAAGGUGCAGCAGAACCCGGAAUCUCUCAGUGUCCAAGAGGGAGCCAUGGCCUCUCUCAACUGCACUUUCAGUGAUAGUGCAUCAGAUUCCUUCAGCUGGUACAGACAGCGAUCUGGGAAAGGCCUGGAGUUCCUCCUGUUUGUAGUCUCUAGUGGUAAAAAAGAAGGCAGACUCACAGUUCACCUCAACAAAGCCAGUCAGCAUGUUUCCCUGCACAUCAGAGACUCCCAGCCCAGUGACUCAGCUGUCUACCUCUGUGCAGUGAGAACACAGUGCUCCCCAGGCACCUGCAGCCUGCACAAAAACCUAUUGGGCCCUAAUGAGCCUUGA